GAUGAACGCUAGCUACAGGCUUAACACAUGCAAGUCGAGGGACCGGCGCACGGGUGAGUAACACGUAUCCAACCUGCCCUUUACUCGGGGAUAGCCUUUCGAAAGAAAGAUUAAUACCCGAUAUAAAGGAUGGGGAUGCGUUCCAUUAGGUUGUUGGUGAGGUAACGGCUCACCAAGCCUUCGAUGGAUAGGGGUUCUGAGAGGAAGGUCCCCCUCAUUGGAACUGUGACACGGUCCAAACUCCUACAGGAGGCAGCAAUGAGGAAUAUUGGUCAAUGGGCGCUAGCCUGCACCGGCCAAGUAGCGUGAAGGAUGGACGCGUUUGGGUCGUAAACUUCUUUUAUAUAAGAAUGUGUAGUAUAUCAAUAAGGAUCGGCUAACUCCGUGCCAGCAGCCGCGGUAAUAC
This 406-nucleotide ribosomal RNA is filed under the name uncultured bacterium. RNAcentral's name for it is "partial 16S ribosomal RNA". It matches the Rfam family "Bacterial small subunit ribosomal RNA", at positions 28 to 526 of the family's 1533-position model. The record is from RNAcentral.